UCCGUAGGCGGGCGAUUAAGUCAGAGGUGAAAUCCCACAGCUCAACUGUGGAACUGCCUUUGAUACUGGUUGUCUUGAGUUAUAGUGAAGUAGAUAGAAUGUGUAGUGUAGCGGUGAAAUGCAUAGAUAUUACACAGAAUACCGAUUGCGAAGGCAGUCUACUAACUGUAUACUGACGCUAAUGGACGAAAGCGUGGGGCGCGAACAGGAUUAGAUACCCUGGUAGUCC
RNAcentral lists this ribosomal RNA (229 nucleotides) under uncultured bacterium. Its description in RNAcentral is "partial 16S ribosomal RNA". It matches the Rfam family "Bacterial small subunit ribosomal RNA", at positions 568 to 796 of the family's 1533-position model. The record is from RNAcentral.